Molecule: long non-coding RNA, 1234 nt
Filed under: Fukomys damarensis (Damara mole-rat)
Lineage: Eukaryota; Metazoa; Chordata; Mammalia; Rodentia; Bathyergidae
Description: lncRNA (ENSFDAG00000032253.1)
Source: RNAcentral
GUGCGUCAGCGGCCGGAAGUGGAGAAUCGGGGGAGGGGCUGAUGCUUCAGGAGAAGAAGGAGGCGGAAGAGAAAGUCGGCCUGCGCCUUCUUUCUUGGGAGAGUCCUGUGCGCCACCUUUGGGGCAGUUUUAAGGCCCUCUUUUGGUUGGCGUUUGGGCAGGAAAUGUCUCAGACGCCUUUAUGGCGUGAGGGUCGAGACACUGAAUAAUCUCUGAGGCGAUGGGGAAAAGAUCCAGCGGGAGGCGGAUUUCCCCACGCCUACUCGGCGCACAGCGAAUUAGGCAUUGAGCGUUCCCAGAGCUCAGCGUGUACUAAAUCUGCACCCUCCAUCCAAGGGGACGAUUUAAGAGUCGUCUCCCAGAAGACAAGAACAUGGAUUUUGGAAGGAAAUCGAGGCAUGAAGUGGAAACAGAAUUCAAAUGCGGAUAUGGUCACCGCUGUGGGGUCCGUCUCACCCCCUUCAGAAUGGCAUCAUCAAGAAUCCAAAAAACAGCGGAUGCUGGGAAGGGUGUGGAGAUCAAGAAACCCUUCUACACUGCUGGUAGGAAUGUUCACGAGUGCAGCCGCGAAGGAGAUCAGCAUGGAGACUCCAACACAAGAAGCAGAGCUGGCAUUUGAUUCAGCAGUACCACGCCUCAGGAUUUUCCAACAGAAUUUACACCAGCAUCGCACAGUGAUUCCUCCACACCCAUGUUCAUGGUGGCACAAGUCACCGUAGCAAGAUGCGGAAGCAGCCCAGGUGCCCAUCCACAGAUGGUGGCUAAGAAGAGUGUGGUAAAAUUCCACCACGCAACAUCAGACAGGAAGAAGGGAGAGGGACAGAAGCGGAGGUCGUGACGGAAGUGGGAAAGUCUGGCUCAGACAGGCGGGUAACUCACGCACUCAUGUUUUUCUGUCCUGUGUGGAAUCUGAGAGAGAUGAAGGGGAGUGAGGGAGGGAGAGAAAACGGAAGUGAAAGGCAGGCUCUGCGUGGGGUGGGGAGCAGAGUGGGGGUGGAGAUUAUCAGAGUACGUCACACACUUGUACCAUACCUCGAAUGUGUCAAAAUAAAGCCCCUUAUUCUGUAUAGCUAACAUGCACUGAGAAAGAAAGCAGGAACCCAUGGCACAAAAAAGAUUUGACAAUAAAAGGAAGACAGCCGGGCAUGGUGGUGCAUGCCUGUAAUCCCAGCACUCAGGAGGCUGAGGCAGGAGGAUCGCUGUGAGUUCGAGACCAGCCUGGGCUACACAAUGU